GACGAACGCUGGCGGCGUGCUUAACACAUGCAAGUCGAACGGAAAGGCCCUGCUUUUGUGGGGUGCUCGAGUGGCGAACGGGUGAGUAACACGUGAGUAACCUGCCCUUGACUUUGGGAUAACUUCAGGAAACUGGGGCUAAUACCGGAUAGGAGCUCCUGCCGCAUGGUGGGGGUUGGAAAGUUUCGGCGGUUGGGGAUGGACUCGCGGCUUAUCAGCUUGUUGGUGGGGUAGUGGCUUACCAAGGCUUUGACGGGUAGCCGGCCUGAGAGGGUGACCGGCCACAUUGGGACUGAGAUACGGCCCAGACUCCUACGGGAGGCAGCAGUGGGGAAUAUUGCAUAAUGGGCGGAAGCCUGAUGCAGCAACGCCGCGUGCGGGAUGACGGCCUUCGGGUUGUAAACCGCUUUCGCCUGUGACGAAGCGUGAGUGACGGUAAUGGGUAAAGAAGCACCGGCUAACUACGUG
Molecule: ribosomal RNA, 468 nt
Filed under: uncultured bacterium
Lineage: Bacteria
Description: partial 16S ribosomal RNA
Rfam family: Bacterial small subunit ribosomal RNA
Source: RNAcentral